Molecule: transfer RNA, 71 nt
Filed under: Bos taurus (domestic cattle)
Lineage: Eukaryota; Metazoa; Chordata; Mammalia; Artiodactyla; Bovidae
Also listed under: 3 other names
Rfam family: tRNA
About the family: Transfer RNA (tRNA) molecules are approximately 80 nucleotides in length.
Source: Rfam by way of RNAcentral
UCCCAAGUGGCUCAGUGUUAAAGAUUCUGCCUGCCAAGCAGGAAACAUGAGUUCAAUCCCUGGCUUGGGAA